RNAcentral lists this ribosomal RNA (441 nucleotides) under uncultured bacterium. RNAcentral describes it as "partial 16S ribosomal RNA". It matches the Rfam family "Bacterial small subunit ribosomal RNA", at positions 338 to 795 of the family's 1533-position model. The record is from RNAcentral.
CCUACGGGUGGCAGCAGUGGGGAAUAUUGCACAAUGGGGGAAACCCUGAUGCAGCGACGCCGCGUGAGUGAAGAAGUACUUCGGUAUGUAAAGCUCUAUCAGCAGGGAAGAAGAAAGACGGUACCUGACUAAGAAGCCCCGGCUAACUACGUGCCAGCAGCCGCGGUAAAACGUAGGGGGCAAGCGUUAUCCGGAUUUACUGGGUGUAAAGGGAGCGUAGACGGCUGUGCAAGUCUGAAGUGAAAGCCCAGGGCUCAACCCUGGGACUGCUUUGGAAACUGUGGGGCUGGAGUGCUGGAGAGGUAAGUGGAAUUCCUGGUGUAGCGGUGAAAUGCGUAGAUAUUAGGAGGAACACCAGUGGCGAAGGCGGCUUACUGGACGGUAACUGACGUUGAGGCUCGAAAGCGUGGGGAGCAAACAGGAUUAGAUACCCUUGUAGUC